CUAUUCUGAGCACAUUGAAAUUUAAUUUGGGGGUCCAAAAUGAACAGUGAUAAUUUAUCAUUAAGAUAUGACUUGAAAAUAGCAUUGCUUUUUACAGGUUUCGAGUACUGUAAAACCAUCUGCUGCUAUGACAAUUGGUAUAAGCACCGGUUUUGCUAUAGUUCUGCUCUGUGCAACUAUUGCUGGAUUGUCCUAUUUCUGCCUCAAAAGGAGAAACCAACUGAUCAGCUCUCGCUAUUUUAGGGCUGAACUAGAUGAUGAUGAACCUUUUUGGCAGGAAAGGAGCCCACAUUUAGUAUCCAUUCCAAAUCCUAUUUAUGGAGCAGAUAGCUCAAUCUAUGAGCCAUUUGAGGAGUCUCUCCACAGAGAAGAUUUUGUCGAUACUGAAGACAUUCUUGGACAAUAAUAUUUUUUUAUAAUACAAACCAGGAUACAAAAAUUCCAGGAAUUUUGAAAAGCUAUACCUCAAUUCUAUUCCUUUUAAAGUUUAUGGGAAAGAAUUAUGAUCGAAAGAGCUAUUGGCAUUUACAGUCAUAAACAAUUUCCAAUUUUUUGUUUAGAAUUCAUUCCCUCAUGUUGUAUUGCCUCUUUUUAGAGAUCUUCAGGAAUAAAUUCUGAGUAUAACUGUAAUAUGAAUGGAAA
This 642-nucleotide long non-coding RNA is filed under the name Notechis scutatus (mainland tiger snake). Its description in RNAcentral is "lncRNA (ENSNSUG00000011386.1)". Lineage: Eukaryota; Metazoa; Chordata; Lepidosauria; Squamata; Elapidae. The record is from RNAcentral.